This is a non-coding RNA of 406 nucleotides. It matches the Rfam family "Bacterial RNase P class A". Rfam says of the family: Ribonuclease P (RNase P) is a ubiquitous endoribonuclease, found in archaea, bacteria and eukarya as well as chloroplasts and mitochondria. Its best characterised activity is the generation of mature 5'-ends of tRNAs by cleaving the 5'-leader elements of precursor-tRNAs. The record is from Rfam.
CGAGCCGGCCGGGCGGCCGCGGCAGGGCCGGAACCCGGCCCCGCCGAGGAAGGUCCGGACUCCACAGGGCAGGGUGGUGGGUAACGCCCACCCGGGGUGACCCGCGGGAAAGUGCCACAGAAAACAGACCGCCUCGGCCCCGUGCCGGGGUAAGGGUGAAACGGUGGUGUAAGAGACCACCAGCGCCCGAGGUGACUCGGGCGGCUCGGUAAACCCCACCCGGAGCAAGGUCAAGAGGGGGCGCCGCACAGGUGCCCCUGCGCGAGCGCUUGAGGGUGGCCCGCCCGAUGCUCGCGGGUAGACCGCUAGAGGCUGCCGGUAACGGCAGUCCCAGAGGGAUGGCCGCCGCCCGGCAGGGGGCAACCCCGCCGGGGCACAGAAUCCGGCCUACAGGCCGACUCGUCCG